AAACUGGGAUUAGAGACCCCACUAUGCUUAGCCGUAAACUGAGGUAGUUUAACAACGAGACUAUUCGCCAGAGAACUACGAGCCAUCGCUUAAAACUCAAAGGACUUGGCGGUGCCCUAGACCCCCCUAGAGGAGCCUGUUCUAUAAUCGAUAAACCCCGAUACACCUCAAAUCUCCUAGCUAAUCAGUCUAUAUACCGCCAUCGUCAGCUCACCCCGAGAGGGUCCAAAAGUGAGCAGAAUCAUGAAACCAUAAAAACGUUAGGUCAAGGUGUAGCAUAUGGAAAGGGAAGUAAUGGGCUACAUUUUCUACAUUAGAACACAACGAAGUGUCUAUUGAAACAAAGAUAUGAAGGAGGAUUUAGCAGUAAAUUAAGAAUAGAGAGCUUAAUUGAACAUGGCAAUAGGGUGCGUACACACCGCCCGUCACCCUCCUCAACAUAGUAAUUUUUAUAUACCUAAUAAGAGUACGUAAGAAAGAGGAGAAAAGUCGUCGUAAGGUAAGUGUACUGGAAAGUGCACUUGGAUUAUC
RNAcentral lists this ribosomal RNA (531 nucleotides) under Planigale novaeguineae (Papuan planigale). RNAcentral describes it as "partial 12S ribosomal RNA". It matches the Rfam family "Bacterial small subunit ribosomal RNA", at positions 769 to 1527 of the family's 1533-position model. The record is from RNAcentral. Lineage: Eukaryota; Metazoa; Chordata; Mammalia; Dasyuromorphia; Dasyuridae.